GAUCUGAUUCGAAUGGUAAAAUUUCUCUUUGCCAUGGAGAAGAUGCAGGUUCGAUUCCCGCUAUCCAAGAUCCA
This is a non-coding RNA of Datura stramonium (jimsonweed), 74 nucleotides long. The record is from the annotation of a GenBank genome assembly. Lineage: Eukaryota; Viridiplantae; Streptophyta; Magnoliopsida; Solanales; Solanaceae.